This 469-nucleotide ribosomal RNA is filed under the name uncultured bacterium. Its description in RNAcentral is "partial 16S ribosomal RNA". It matches the Rfam family "Bacterial small subunit ribosomal RNA", at positions 28 to 508 of the family's 1533-position model. The record is from RNAcentral.
GACGAACGCUGGCGGCGUGCUUAACACAUGCAAGUCGAACGAUGAAAGAGGAGCUUGCUCCUCUGGAUUAGUGGCGAACGGGUGAGUAACACGUGAGCAAUCUGCCCCUGACUCCGGAAUAACUACGGGAAACUGUAGCUAAUACCGGAUAUGCGCCGAACAGGCAUCUGUAUCGGUGGGAAAGAAUUUCGGUCAGGGAUGAGCUCGCGGCCUAUCAGCUUGUUGGUGAGGUAACGGCUCACCAAGGCGACGACGGGUAGCCGGCCUGAGAGGGUGACCGGGCAAAUUGGGGACGGACAACGGCCCCAGAGCCCGAGGGGGGCAAAAGGGGGGAAAUUUUGCAAAGGGGGCGAAGGCGGGAGGCAGCAACCCCGGGGGGGGAAGAACGGCUUGCGGUUUGAAAACCUCUUUUGGCGGGAAAAAAGAGAAGGGGAGGGUACCUGAAAAAAAGGCGCGGGCUAACUAGGGC